This 593-nucleotide ribosomal RNA is filed under the name uncultured bacterium. RNAcentral describes it as "bacterial SSU rRNA". It matches the Rfam family "Bacterial small subunit ribosomal RNA", at positions 338 to 946 of the family's 1533-position model. The record is from RNAcentral.
CCUACGGGAGGCAGCAGUGGGGAAUCUUGCGCAAUGGGCGAAAGCCUGACGCAGCCAUGCCGCGUGAAUGAUGAAGGUCUUAGGAUUGUAAAAAUUCUUUCACCGGGGACGAUAAUGACGGUACCCGGAGAAGAAGCCCCGGCUAACUUCGUGCCAGCAGCCGCGGUAAUACGAAGGGGGGCUAGCGUUGCUCGGAAUUACUGGGCGUAAAGGGAGCGUAGGCGGAUAGUUUAGUCAGAGGUGAAAGCCCAGGGCUCAACCUUGGAAUUGCCUUUGAUACUGGCUAUCUUGAGUAUGGGAGAGGUUAGCGGAACUCCGAGUGUAGAGGUGAAAUUCGUAGAUAUUCGGAAGAACACCAGUGGCGAAGGCGGCUAACUGGCCCAUUACUGACGCUGAGGCUCGAAAGCGUGGGGAGCAAACAGGAUUAGAUACCCUGGUAGUCCACGCCGUAAACGAUGAGUGCUAGUUGUCGGCAUGCAUGCAUGUCGGUGACGCAGCUAACGCAUUAAGCACUCCGCCUGGGGAUACGGUCGCAAGAUUAAAACUCAAAGGAAUUGACGGCUGAGACGNGCGACGCGACGACGAGGGAGAGG